AUUGAACGCUGGCGGCAGGCCUAACACAUGCAAGUCGAGCGGAUGAGGGUAGCUUGCUACCUGAUUCAGCGGCGGACGGGUGAGUAAUGCCUAGGAAUCUGCCUGGUAGUGGGGGACAACGUUUCGAAAGGAACGCUAAUACCGCAUACGUCCUACGGGAGAAAGUGGGGGAUCUUCGGACCUCACGCUAUCAGAUGAGCCUAGGUCGGAUUAGCUAGUUGGUGGGGUAAAGGCUCACCAAGGCGACGAUCCGUAACUGGUCUGAGAGGAUGAUCAGCCACACCGGAACUGAGACACGGUCCGGACUCCUACGGGAGGCAGCAGUGGGGAAUAUUGGACAAUGGGGGAAACCCUGAUCCAGCAAUGCCGCGUGUGUGAAGAAGGCCUGCGGGUUGUAAAGCACUUUUGUUGGGGAAGAAAAGCCGUCGGCGAAUAUCCGGCGGUCUUGACGGUACCCAAAGAAUAAGCACCGGCUAACUCCGUGCCAGCAGCCGCGGUAAUACGGAGGGUGCG
RNAcentral lists this ribosomal RNA (513 nucleotides) under uncultured bacterium. Its description in RNAcentral is "bacterial SSU rRNA". It matches the Rfam family "Bacterial small subunit ribosomal RNA", at positions 30 to 536 of the family's 1533-position model. The record is from RNAcentral.